Molecule: ribosomal RNA, 227 nt
Filed under: uncultured bacterium
Lineage: Bacteria
Description: partial 16S ribosomal RNA
Rfam family: Bacterial small subunit ribosomal RNA
Source: RNAcentral
CUGAACCAGCCAAGUAGCGUGAGGGAUGACUGCCCUAUGGGUUGUAAACUUCUUUUAUACGGGAAUAAAGUGAGGCACGUGUGCCUUUUUGUAUGUACCGUAUGAAUAAGGAUCGGCUAACUCCGUGCCAGCAGCCGCGGUAAUACGGAGGAUCCGAGCGUUAUCCGGAUUUAUUGGGUUUAAAGGGAGCGUAGGCGGACGCUUAAGUCAGUUGUGAAAGUUUGCGG